CAGUCGCCGCGGGAAUACAGAGGGUGCAAGCGUUAAUCGGAAUUACUGGGCGUAAAGCGCGCGUAGGUGGUUUGUUAAGUUGGAUGUGAAAGCCCCGGGCUCAACCUGGGAACUGCAUCCAAAACUGGCAAGCUAGAGUACGGUAGAGGGUGGUGGAAUUUCCUGUGUAGCGGUGAAAUGCGUAGAUAUAGGAAGGAACACCAGUGGCGAAGGCGACCACCUGGACUGAUACUGACACUGAGGUGCGAAAGCGUGGGGAGCAAACAGGAUUAGAUACCCGGGUAGUCCCUGUCUCUUUACA
RNAcentral lists this ribosomal RNA (301 nucleotides) under uncultured bacterium. RNAcentral describes it as "partial 16S ribosomal RNA". It matches the Rfam family "Bacterial small subunit ribosomal RNA", at positions 509 to 808 of the family's 1533-position model. The record is from RNAcentral.